AAAAUUGCUAGUUCGCUAGAACUUACACUACAAAGCUUGUUGCGGUUAAAUCAUAAGAACUUCUGCUUCAAGUUUUGUUUUGUCACUCUUUGUUGAAACUUCUACUUUUGCUUCGGCAGUACUCAGCCUUUAAACCGUUGAGGUAAGGCUGCCAGAAGCCUUUAUGAAAACUAGUUGAUGAAAUGUCAUGCUGUCUGAUACUUUUUUAGUAUUUGAGAAAUCAAAUUACUUGUUA
This 235-nucleotide unclassified non-coding RNA is filed under the name uncultured Orbiliales. Its description in RNAcentral is "sequence contains ITS1". The record is from RNAcentral. Lineage: Eukaryota; Fungi; Ascomycota; Orbiliomycetes; Orbiliales.